Molecule: long non-coding RNA, 243 nt
Filed under: Homo sapiens (human)
Lineage: Eukaryota; Metazoa; Chordata; Mammalia; Primates; Hominidae
Description: HSALNT0157824
Source: RNAcentral
UUAUCUUCUGUUGGGAAAUUCCAGCAACAGGGACCUUGUUUCAGAGCUACCGGACUGUAACAUCUGGUAGCGAUCCCUGAAAGAGUAAUCGGGAGAAGCACUGGUUGGAGGGUUGAGGAGGGGGAACUCAACACCCCACCUCCAACCCCCAAAAGAAACCUCUGUGGCACGAGCUCUCUGAGUUCUUGGAAUGAUUCUGACGUCCAUCGUAGCAGAUAAGUGAAGUUGUCCUCAUCCGGAAAU